This is a long non-coding RNA of Aedes albopictus (Asian tiger mosquito), 1978 nucleotides long. RefSeq lists it as uncharacterized. The record is from RefSeq and is a predicted model, not a curated record. The transcript has 5 exons. Lineage: Eukaryota; Metazoa; Arthropoda; Insecta; Diptera; Culicidae.
AGGGAGACUGGGACCCUGAAAACCAUCGUUGAGUAGGGAGGCUCCAGAUACCAAACGAACAGAACAUCGAAUGAAGCGCAGCAACAUCCGAGGAACUCUCACACCGAAACACCAAGUGGUCAUGCCGUUAGCCGAUCGAGACAAAUCGAGCCCAUCAUCAAGAAUUCGACCAUCCUCACUACACAGAGCUAUGAGUGGCACCACUACGAAGGAACAAAAUACGAUCUCGGCAAUCCAAGCACAUCCACGACUGGAUGGUGCACACGAACCCUCAAGUUUUUCCAGUCAAUUCGAAUGCGUGGCCAAGGGUUAAAGAUCUGGGGGUCGUCAUGAAAUCUUCAUCCCAAAAGUAACGCGACCAGGGGCGCGGUAAAACCCUAUUUCUCGGGCUCAUGACGAUUUAGAUUAGUAAAUGUUUCUUUUCUCAGAAAAUACGCACAAACCAAGACAAACCAAUUUUGUCCAUAGAUAUAGUCGAUACAUAAAGCUUCUUAAUGCUUAGUGUACAAUUAAGCCUAUUUUAGCAGAUACCAUAGGCUAGAAUCCGAUUUGAAAGUUUUGCCGUAGGAUUCGUUUAAGUUGGACAUGGACUUUGGUCAGAGACGAUUUGAGAGGUCGUAGAUUUUGCCAGGCGCAGCUGGCAUGAAGUUUAGUCUAGCAUUAAGAUUAUGCAGUUUGGAGGAUAGAGAAGAUUUGGCAAGCGACCAAGGCUUGCGUAUGAGUUUGGUUUUAGUUGAGGAAACGAUGUAACUUGAGGUCUGCUCAAGAGUUAGGUUGACCGACUUGUCUCUGACCAUCAUCCUAGGAGGAUGACUGAAGAUUUUGUGAAUUUUUCAUAAAUCGUUUGAUCACCGAUUUAUGAAAAAUUCUUCCGCUACGGUAGAGUUGUGUUACGUUUAGAUCUGUUGUAGUUUAGUUGAAGCACUAGAAAUAAAAUCAUAAACGAAUAACAACUCGUAACAUACAAAAACAUAUUACCCGCCACGCACGCCAACAAAAUUCGCUCCGUGUGGGCGCAUUCGAACACCAACCGUCUUUUCAAAUCCUACGCUUCACACCGAUGGAAAAGACUAUACCAACGGCGACCGACAGCUGUCAUCUGUCUUCGCUGACCAGUACCAACAUAACGGAAAGGAGGAAUGAUCGAGAAAAAGCGGGCAGAAGAAAAAGUGGUCCGUUCGGUGCACAUCGCGUGUGGUUUUUGCGGCGGACAGAAAAUCUGUUUUGUGCAGAAGGAGAAAAUCUCCGUCGUUGAGUGAGUAACACCCAGUGCGGGUGGCAAAAAGGGCCGGAAUUGGCUCAGCCAACGGGAGUAGGUCGGAAAUAUCGCAGGAGUGUGAUCAGCACGUGCUGGAACCGCAGGAACCAGUGAUCACGGGCAAAACCACCACGGGUGCCAGCAUCACGAGUGACCAGACCGACACGGACAGAACAGGAAAAGAUCGCAGGAGCACGUGACGGGCAACGGAGGAACCGUUGAUCAAGGGGAGCCCACGCACUGCACCUUCCGUGUGAGCGCCACGUAAAUCCACUGCAAGUUGGUCAAAUCAUCUCUAGCACAGCGAGGCCAGCCAAUAUAAGAACCGAAGCCCUCGCCAAAGCCGUCAAGGCUCACAUCCAGAAAAGAGGCUUUCCAUUGGAAGGCCUCUUUUUAUUUAUCGUCCUUUCUUUAGUGGGUCGCCCACGGUCGGGAACCUCGACCGGCGACGGACAUUCGGAGGCAGGCACGAGAUCCGAACAAGUUGCGGGAGGCGAGAGAAGGAGCCGCACAGGAACCCGAACUCGGAACCGACUGGCGAGCGCCCUUCCGUCGAGGCCAAAUCCGGCGCAUCCGGCGGAGAUACGACGAUCAGGGCAGUGGUUCGAGCGCUGUACCACGACGCACGGGCGAGCCAGCGACAUUACGAUUCGAGACCAUUUCCGAGCAUCGAGACCCCAUUCGUGGCGCCUUUUUGCCCUGGCUGCGGUGAGCAUCCGG